AUGGCCUCACACCUAAGUCCUUUCAUUAGGGCAUCGGCCGUGACAAAACCACGACACACAGGGAGGGCCCUUGUUAAAAAGAUAACCCCUAUUACUCGAGAUGAAUUGCCGCACCCGUCGGCAUGCCCCUUCUGUGAUCAACUGCCAAAGACAUUGGAUCAUUUGCUUCUCGGAUGUGUUCUAGCACGACAGGUAUGGGCCAAGAUCAUGAACACUUGGAGUAGGCCGGAGUGGACGCCAUCCGCAGAUUCAAAACUAGUUGAAUGGUGGACAACACUCAACCCCUAGAAGCAAUUUCGAAAGGAGGCGUGGACGGUGAUAACACCAGUGCUAUGGAUGUUGUGGAAGCACCGAAACGACAUUGUUUUCAAUGGAGCGUCGCCAUCGGUGGACGACCUGCUUGUUAAGAUCAAGUUAGAGGCUCAGGACUGGAGAGCGGCUGGACUACUGCGUGAACGUGGCUCAGUCAUUUGUAUGGUAGAUAGGUGGGACGAGAGCGAGUAA
This 504-nucleotide ribosomal RNA is filed under the name Triticum aestivum (bread wheat). RNAcentral's name for it is "partial small subunit ribosomal RNA". The record is from RNAcentral. Lineage: Eukaryota; Viridiplantae; Streptophyta; Magnoliopsida; Poales; Poaceae.